GGUUGUGUUUCAGUGGUAGAAUGCUUGCCUAGUAUGCAUGAGGCACCGAGUUCAAUUCUCAGCACCA
This 67-nucleotide transfer RNA is filed under the name Marmota monax (woodchuck). Its description in RNAcentral is "tRNA.Thr". It matches the Rfam family "tRNA". From Rfam's summary of the family: Transfer RNA (tRNA) molecules are approximately 80 nucleotides in length. Their secondary structure includes four short double-helical elements and three loops (D, anti-codon, and T loops). Further hydrogen bonds mediate the characteristic L-shaped molecular structure. tRNAs have two regions of fundamental functional importance: the anti-codon, which is responsible for specific mRNA codon recognition, and the 3' end, to which the tRNAs corresponding amino acid is attached (by aminoacyl-tRNA synthetases). tRNAs cope with the degeneracy of the genetic code in two manners: having more than one tRNA (with a specific anti-codon) for a particular amino acid; and 'wobble' base-pairing, i.e. permitting non-standard base-pairing at the 3rd anti-codon position. Lineage: Eukaryota; Metazoa; Chordata; Mammalia; Rodentia; Sciuridae. The record is from RNAcentral.